Molecule: long non-coding RNA, 512 nt
Organism: Bactrocera neohumeralis
Lineage: Eukaryota; Metazoa; Arthropoda; Insecta; Diptera; Tephritidae
Exons: 2
Source: RefSeq, a predicted model, not a curated record
GUGAACUAGUAAAUUAAGUUUAUUUUACGAAUCAACAAAAGUGUUUACGUUCUUGUUUUCAAUUUACAUGCUGUUGGCACGAUUCCGAUUACUUUGGCGGUCGGGUAAAAACACGAAUUUCGGUAUAAAUGGGUUUGUAUAAGUUAACACAUUAGUAUGUUAGUCUGCCCACUGUAGCGUUCUUAGACCUACUCCACGCCAGCCAGUAAGCGCGGGAAUAGUCCGCGUCCGUAUUUUCCCAUCAACUGGCAAACAUCAGCGCGGUGUCAGCGAUUCACCUGUUGUCUAAACAACAACAACAACAGCAUCAGGUGCAGUAGCAGCAGUAAUGCCAAAAUUGUGCCAAGUGUAAGAAAGUCAGGCUGGGCUUCUAUUUUUUAGUUUCAGUUGUAAUCCAGACUUUAACAACAGCACAUAAUGCUGAAUAAAUAAUUUACACUAUAAAAGUUGUAAUUCGGAGUUUAACAACAGCACAUAUUGCUGAAUAAAUAAUUCAUAUUAUAAAAGUUUAA